UCCCUGUAAUUACAUGUGCAUAUUGUGUUUAUUCUGCAAAAGUUAAUGCAACCAAGGCGUGGCACCAAAAUUAGUGCUGUUAACAUUUUCAAUUUCUGCCAUAUUUCAUGUACAUUUAGUUACGACAUCAAGCUAUUUCAUCAAUUUGCAAUUGGAGUUUCUUUUGAUCAAUUUUACAGAACAGAAACGAUAUUUGUGAUAGAAAAUGAAAAUGUUAAUGGUAUUGACGGUGCUCUGUAUGGUAAUAUUUGGUGCAAGUUCUCAGUAUAUGACAGGUGAGUACUGCCAGGAUAUUUUGUGUGAAUAUACGCAUUCAGCAACAGAUUGUAUCAGCUGUUGUCAAACCAAAGGAUUUAGUGCAGGUGGAGCGUGUAGUUAUGACAAGUGUUUGUGUUACGUUCACGAAGAUAACAACGACCGUUGAUCGUCCAAGAAAACACGCCACAGUUAAAAUUCAUGAAUAAAUAACUAUUACUCUUACAA
Molecule: long non-coding RNA, 483 nt
Organism: Mytilus californianus (California mussel)
Lineage: Eukaryota; Metazoa; Mollusca; Bivalvia; Mytilida; Mytilidae
Exons: 4
Source: RefSeq, a predicted model, not a curated record